Molecule: small RNA, 185 nt
Filed under: Mytilus galloprovincialis (Mediterranean mussel)
Lineage: Eukaryota; Metazoa; Mollusca; Bivalvia; Mytilida; Mytilidae
Source: RNAcentral
UCGGGAAAUCGAGAAAUCGAGAAAUCGAGAAAUUGGGAAAUCGGGAAAGCGAGAAAGCGAGAAAGCUAAAACGCGAAAUCGAGAAAUUCAUUUCGCGUUUUCGCGUUUUCGCGUUUUUGCUUUCUCGCUUUCCCUAUUUCUCGAUUUCCCUUUUUCUCGAUUUCCCUAUUUCUCGAUUUCCCGAU